RNAcentral lists this long non-coding RNA (477 nucleotides) under Sinocyclocheilus grahami. RNAcentral's name for it is "lncRNA (ENSSGRG00000036307.1)". Lineage: Eukaryota; Metazoa; Chordata; Actinopteri; Cypriniformes; Cyprinidae. The record is from RNAcentral.
AUGUGUAUUUGGUUUUUACCUCAAGCAUUCAAGCACAUGUUCCACUGAAUUCUCAGCUCCGUAUGGAAUGCCUGACAUCUUUGCUACCUCUGGACUGGAAGCCCCAAGGACAACAGAGGAUGAUGGGAAACUGUCGUGGCACGUGAGCAUUAGUUUGGGUGCAGGUUAUGAAUGCAGUGGGGCGAUCAUCCAGUUGCAAUGGAUCCUUACUGAAGCACACUGUGUCUAUAACCUGGAAGAACGACACUUGAGACUUUUAUCAGUGACAGCAGGAGGCUCAAAGAAACAGAUCUAUGACGUGAUUGGAGUACUCAUACACCCUCAUUACAGCCCAUUCUCUCUCGACUACAAUGUGGCUUUGCUUAAGCUGAGCUCUCUGUUAAAUCUCAGUGAAAGUACGCAGCCUGUCUGUCUACCCUCUGCUGGACAGGAAAUCCCACCCUCCAUCCAUUGCUGGGCUCCGGCGUGGACCAGCCA